This 329-nucleotide unclassified non-coding RNA is filed under the name soil metagenome. RNAcentral's name for it is "partial contains 5.8S ribosomal RNA, internal transcribed spacer 2, and large subunit ribosomal RNA". The stretch from base 1 to 120 matches the Rfam family "5.8S ribosomal RNA", at positions 35 to 154 of the family's 154-position model. The record is from RNAcentral.
GAUGAAGAACGCAGCGAAAUGCGAUAAGUAAUGUGAAUUGCAGAAUUCAGUGAAUCAUCGAAUCUUUGAACGCACAUUGCGCCCUCUGGUAUUCCGGGGGGCAUGCCUGUUCGAGCGUCAUUAUAACCACUCAAGCUCUCGCUUGGUAUUGGAGUUCGCGAUCUCGCGGCUCCUAAAAUCAGUGGCGGUACCUGUCGGCUCUACGCGUAGUAAUACUCCUCGCGAUUGAGUCCGGUAGGUUUACUUGCCAGCAACCCCCAAUUUUUACAGGUUGACCUCGGAUCAGGUAGGGAUACCCGCUGAACUUAAGCAUAUCAAUAAGCGGAGGA